GCAUGGCAAUGGAUUUAUGGUGGGGUCCAGAUAAUGACCUCUCCAUAGUGUAUCCCAUGCAAGAGAAAAACGCUACUCCGAACCAUUGGCAGGUCUGUUACUGUAGGCCUUGACCACUGAAGUGAGUUGUACAGUC
This is a small nucleolar RNA of Pseudophryne corroboree (corroboree frog), 136 nucleotides long. RefSeq annotates it as small nucleolar RNA SNORA42/SNORA80 family. NCBI's taxonomy places the organism in Eukaryota, Metazoa, Chordata, Amphibia, Anura, Myobatrachidae. The record is from RefSeq and is a predicted model, not a curated record. The transcript has a single exon.